Molecule: ribosomal RNA, 247 nt
Filed under: uncultured bacterium
Lineage: Bacteria
Description: partial 16S ribosomal RNA
Rfam family: Bacterial small subunit ribosomal RNA
Source: RNAcentral
AUACGUAGGGAGCGAGCGUUGUCCGGAUUUACUGGGUGUAAAGGGUGCGUAGGCGGGACUGCAAGUCAGACGUGAAAUACCGAGGCUUAACCUCGGGGCUGCGUUUGAAACUGUAGUUCUUGAGUGAAGUAGAGGCAGGCGGAAUUCCUAGUGUAGCGGUGAAAUGCGUGGAUAUUCGGAGGAACACCAGUGGCGAAGGCGGCUUACUGGUCCAUUACUGACGCUGAGGUGUGAAAGCGUGGGGAGC